CAAUAGCGUAUAUUAUUGAUGUUGCAGUUGAAACGUUCGUAGUCGAAUCUUAUCUGCCAAAGCAUUGUGUCAUUUAUGAUGACAUAAUGCUCUCGGCAGAGAUUGUACAAGCGUUUGCAUGUUCUGACCUUGUAUCUUACUUUGAGUGAAUCGGCGUGUUCCACGCAGGCAUGUGCCUUGAACGAUUUACCAUAGCAUAAUCAGAGUAUGGAACUGCUUCCUUGUUUGUUCGGAAGCUCUUUCGAUACUGAUAGGAACGGUUGAGGGCAUUCGUAUUCGACUGCUAGAGGUGAAAUUCUUUGAUUAGUCGAGGACGAACCAUUGCGAAAGCAUCCGCCAAGGACGUUUNCUUUG
This 354-nucleotide ribosomal RNA is filed under the name uncultured eukaryote. RNAcentral's name for it is "partial 18S ribosomal RNA". It matches the Rfam family "Eukaryotic small subunit ribosomal RNA", at positions 592 to 975 of the family's 1831-position model. The record is from RNAcentral.